UUCCUGUGGGCUUCAGUGAUGGGAUAGUACACUUCACUCAGAGGCAUUUGCAUCUUUAAAUAAUUUCUUAAAAGCCUCUAAAGUGAUCAGUGCCUUGAUGCCAACUAAGGAAAUUUGUUUAGCAUUGAAUCUCUGAAGGCUCUAUGAAAGGAAUAGCAUGAUGUGCUGUUAGAAUCAGAUGUUACUGCUAAAAUUUACAUGUUGUGAUGUAAAUUGUGUAGAAAACCAUUAAAUCAUUCAAAAUAAUAAACUAUUUUUAUUAGAGAAUGUAUACUUUUAGAAAGCUGUCUCCUUAUUUAAAUAAAAUAGUGUUUGUCUGUAGUUCAGUGUUGGGGCAAUCUUGGGGGGGAUUCUUCUCUAAUCUUUCAGAAACUUUGUCUGCGAACACUCUUUAAUGGACCAGAUCAGGAUUUGAGCGGAAGAACGAAUGUAACUUUAAGGCAGGAAAGACAAAUUUUAUUCUUCAUAAAGUGAUGAGCAUAUAAUAAUUCCAGGCACAUGGCAAUAGAGGCCCUCUAAAUAAGGAAUAAAUAACCUCUUAGACAGGUGGGAGAUUAUGAUCAGAGUAAAAGAGGCAUUUCAUCCUUCAUGAAGCCAUUCAGGAUUUUGAAUUGCAUAUGAGUGCUUGGCUCUUCCUUCUGUUCUAACUUCACAGAGAAUGCAGUUGUCUUGACUUCAGGUCUGUCUGUUCUGUUGGCAAGUAAAUGCAGUACUGUUCUGAUCCCGCUGCUAUUAGAAUGCAUUGUGAAACGACUGGAGUAUGAUUAAAAGUUGUGUUCCCCAAUGCUUGGAGUAGUGAUUGUUGAAGG
This 809-nucleotide long non-coding RNA is filed under the name Homo sapiens (human). Its description in RNAcentral is "HSALNT0176826". Lineage: Eukaryota; Metazoa; Chordata; Mammalia; Primates; Hominidae. The record is from RNAcentral.